This 384-nucleotide ribosomal RNA is filed under the name Streptococcus agalactiae. RNAcentral describes it as "bacterial SSU rRNA". It matches the Rfam family "Bacterial small subunit ribosomal RNA", at positions 1 to 375 of the family's 1533-position model. The record is from RNAcentral. Lineage: Bacteria; Bacillati; Bacillota; Bacilli; Lactobacillales; Streptococcaceae.
UUUAAUGAGAGUUUGAUCCUGGCUCAGGACGAACGCUGGCGGCGUGCCUAAUACAUGCAAGUAGAACGCUGAUGUUUGGUGUUUACACUAGACUGAUGAGUUGCGAACGGGUGAGUAACGCGUAGGUAACCUGCCUCAUAGCGGGGGAUAACUAUUGGAAACGAUAGCUAAUACCGCAUAAGAGUAAUUAACACAUGUUAGUUAUUUAAAAGGAGCAAUUGCUUCACUGUGAGAUGGACCUGCGUUGUAUUAGCUAGUUGGUGAGGUAAAGGCUCACCAAGGCGACGAUACAUAGCCGACCUGAGAGGGUGAUCGGCCACACUGGGACUGAGACACGGCCCAGACUCCUACGGGAGGCAGCAGUAGGGAAUCUUCGGCAAUGGA